UGACUGACUGAGUGCCAGCCGCCGCGGUAAAACGUAGGUCACGAGCGUUGUCCGGAAUUACUGGGUGUAAAGGGAGCGCAGGCGGGUAGACAAGUUGGGAGUGAAAUGCAUGGGCUCAACCCAUGAACUGCUCUCAAAACUGUAGAUCUUGAGUAGUGCAGAGGUAGGCGGAAUUCCCGGUGUAGCGGUGGAAUGCGUAGAUAUCGGGAGGAACACCAGUGGCGAAGGCGGCCUACUGGGCACCAACUGACGCUGAGGCUCGAAAGUGUGGGUAGCAAACANGAUUAGAUACCCUGGUAGUCCACACCGUAAACGAUGAUUACUAAGUGUUGGAGGAUAGACCCCUUCAGUGCCGCAGUUAACACAAUAAUAAUCCACCUGGGGAGUACGACCCAAGGUUGAAACUCAAAGGAAUUGACGGGGGCCGCACAAGCAGUGGAGUAUUGGUUAAAUCGACCAACGCGAAGAACCUACAAGUCU
RNAcentral lists this ribosomal RNA (480 nucleotides) under uncultured bacterium. RNAcentral describes it as "bacterial SSU rRNA". It matches the Rfam family "Bacterial small subunit ribosomal RNA", at positions 494 to 981 of the family's 1533-position model. The record is from RNAcentral.